UUGACAAUUCUCCCACUGGCUUGAUGUUGUUAAAUUCUAUUUCUUGAGCGCAACGGGAAAUACCGAGCCUGCAUCCCGCUGAUAGGAAUAUUCGGAGGCCCUUUGACCCAAACAGUGUGUGCAGCCGUGUGUGCCAGGCCCUGCUAUGGUGAGGCGUGUUAGCGAUGACGGAUGUGGAGGCGACCUAUGAGGACUUCAUCGCCUCUCGACGGUCCGGCCGCAGGAACGCCAUCCAUGAAAUCCCAGAUACCCCUGGAGGUCAGGGACCCACUGACCUGUCACAGAGUCUUUCCCAGCUUAACAUCAACGAGUCAGGUGAUGAGGGAGGAGACACAGAGAAGAGCCAGGACUCUCCAGAUAAAGAAGAGGAGGCACAAGCUGACUGAUGCAGCAAAGGCCUGCUUAUAUGUGCGUAGUGUGGACUCAAACUGCAGCUUAUUCAACCUGAGCUCUGAGUACUAGGCCUCUAGUUGGUCAUUUGCACUUACUGACUAUGAACAGACACAGACAAAUCCUCCACUGCCACCAUCCUAUCAUCAGGAAUUCAUUGCUAAAGCAGACACCAUGCUGUUUUCCUUCUGCAAAUGUCCUUAGAAAGCUUCCUCUCCUUGCUGCCUUUCCUUCAUGGGAGCUGAAAUGAGAACAUGUUUAAUGCAGUCUGAAAUCAAGAACCAAAACCAGCUCUGUAUGCAUACCAGUCGGGGGAAUAGGAGACAUGCAAGGCUUCUGGGGAAGACUGAAGAGUUCUCACUGAAUUAAAUGUUUACUUCCCCUCCGCCUUGAACCCCUCACUCUUCAUGUGGCAGCAUGGCAACAAGGACAGCGACUGGAUGCCUACUUCUUCUCUGCACUUCUUGCAACAAUGCCUGCACACGUUUCUCCAUCUAUAUCCGUACUCACUGUGGCUAUUUCCAGUCUCCUUGAUGUUUUUUGUAUUUCCAUCUGUAGGAUUUCUGUGAGCUUGCUCUCUCACUCUGCACCACAGGGUUGUUAAAGUUAAACUGAACAUUAGAGGGAGUGUGAUGUGUUUGUUUUUAAGUCCUUGUCAGGUGUGGCGGAAAUCUGAAAAUGAAAGACUCAAACUACAA
Long non-coding RNA from Notolabrus celidotus (New Zealand spotty), 1088 nucleotides. RefSeq lists it as uncharacterized. The record is from RefSeq and is a predicted model, not a curated record. The transcript has 3 exons. Lineage: Eukaryota; Metazoa; Chordata; Actinopteri; Labriformes; Labridae.